Molecule: long non-coding RNA, 247 nt
Filed under: Bos mutus (wild yak)
Lineage: Eukaryota; Metazoa; Chordata; Mammalia; Artiodactyla; Bovidae
Description: lncRNA (ENSBMUG00000020259.1)
Source: RNAcentral
UACUCAGGCUGAUGCCAGUCUGGUCGAGCAACUGCCAACAAAUAAGUCUUGAAAGAGAUGAUUUAUUGCAUCAAUGCUUCUUCUAUUCACCACGCAUGUAAGAUUGCUAAUGUCAAGAGUAAUUUAUUCCUGUGCCCCUCCUGUUCUAGAAGCUGUCAAUGAAGAUGAUGUUCCUCAUCUUACCCCUAAUUUAAUCACGUGGAUUAAUCAUGUGUAGUCGUAAGGCCGCAUGUUUACAGCACACUUG